CGCGUAGGCGGUUUGAUCAGUUAGGUGUGAAAUUCCUGGGCUUAACCUGGGGGGCUGCACUUAAUACGGUCAGGCUAGAGUGUGAAAGAGGGUCGUGGAAUUCCCAGUGUAGAGGUGAAAUUCGUAGAUAUUGGGAAGAACACCGGUGGCGAAGGCGGCGACCUGGUUCAUUACUGACGCUGAGGCGCGAAAGCGUGGGGAGCAAACA
This 208-nucleotide ribosomal RNA is filed under the name uncultured bacterium. RNAcentral's name for it is "partial 16S ribosomal RNA". It matches the Rfam family "Bacterial small subunit ribosomal RNA", at positions 568 to 774 of the family's 1533-position model. The record is from RNAcentral.